GACGAACGCUUGCGGCGUGCUUAACACAUGCAAGUCGAACGGAAAGGCCCUGCUUGCAGGGUGCUCGAGUGGCGAACGGGUGAGUAACACGUGGGUGAUCUGCCCCUUACUUUGGGAUAAGCCUGGGAAACUGGGUCUAAUACUGGAUAGGACCAUGCUGUAGGUGGUGUGGUGGAAAGAUUAGUUUCGGUAAGGGAUGAGCUCGCGGCCUAUCAGCUUGUUGGUGGGGUAAUGGCCUACCAAGGCGUCGACGGGUAGCCGGCCUGAGAGGGUGGACGGCCACAUUGGGACUGAGAUACGGCCCAGACUCCUACGGGAGGCAGCAGUGGGGAAUAUUGCACAAUGGGCGCAAGCCUGAUGCAGCGACGCCGCGUGGGGGAUGACGGCCUUCGGGUUGUAAACUCCUUUCAGCCAUGACGAAGCCCUUGUGGUGACGGUAGUGGUAGAAGAAGCACCGGCUAACUACGUG
This 469-nucleotide ribosomal RNA is filed under the name uncultured bacterium. RNAcentral's name for it is "partial 16S ribosomal RNA". It matches the Rfam family "Bacterial small subunit ribosomal RNA", at positions 28 to 507 of the family's 1533-position model. The record is from RNAcentral.